This 392-nucleotide ribosomal RNA is filed under the name uncultured Gammaproteobacteria bacterium. RNAcentral describes it as "bacterial SSU rRNA". It matches the Rfam family "Bacterial small subunit ribosomal RNA", at positions 370 to 779 of the family's 1533-position model. Lineage: Bacteria; Pseudomonadati; Pseudomonadota; Gammaproteobacteria. The record is from RNAcentral.
AAUGGGCGCAAGCCUGAUCCAGCCAUGCCGCGUGAGUGAUGAAGGCCCUAGGGUCGUAAAGCUCUUUCGCCCGUGAAGAUAAUGACGGUAGCAGGUAAAGAAACCCCGGCUAACUCCGUGCCAGCAGCCGCGGUAAUACGGAGGGGGUUAGCGUUGUUCGGAAUUACUGGGCGUAAAGCGCGCGUAGGCGGAUUAGUAAGUCAGAGGUGAAAUCCCGGGGCUCAACCCCGGAACUGCCUUUGAUACUGCUAGUCUUGAGUUCGAGAGAGGUAAGUGGAAUUCCGAGUGUAGAGGUGAAAUUCGUAGAUAUUCGGAGGAACACCAGUGGCGAAGGCGGCUUACUGGCUCGAUACUGACGCUGAGGUGCGAAAGUGUGGGGAGCAAACAGGAUU